CAAAGGUAGCAUAAUCAAUUGGCUUUUAAUUAAAGUCUGGUAUGAACGAAAGUAUGGGUGGGAACUGUCUUAGUAUAUUAAUUUGAACUUAUUAAGCAAGUGCAAAUACUUGCAAGUUUAAAAAAGACGAGAAGACCCUAGAAACUUGGAAUAGUUUUUGUUGGGGCGACAGAAUUACAUUUAACUAAUUUUUAUGACAUGACACUUAGUUGGUAGAAUAAGUUACUCUAGGGAUAACAGCAUAAUUUAAACAGUUUGUGACCUCGAUGUUGGAUUAG
This 278-nucleotide ribosomal RNA is filed under the name Helix ligata. Its description in RNAcentral is "partial 16S ribosomal RNA". It matches the Rfam family "Archaeal large subunit ribosomal RNA", at positions 2028 to 2609 of the family's 2987-position model. The record is from RNAcentral. Lineage: Eukaryota; Metazoa; Mollusca; Gastropoda; Stylommatophora; Helicidae.